RNAcentral lists this ribosomal RNA (440 nucleotides) under uncultured bacterium. RNAcentral's name for it is "partial 16S ribosomal RNA". It matches the Rfam family "Bacterial small subunit ribosomal RNA", at positions 338 to 795 of the family's 1533-position model. The record is from RNAcentral.
CCUACGGGAGGCAGCAGUGGGGAAUAUUGCACAAUGGGGGAAAGCCUGAUGCAGCGACGCCGCGUGAGUGAAGAAGGACUUCGGUAUGUAAAGCUCUAUCAGCAGGGAAGAAAAUGACGGUACGUGACUAAGAAGCCCCGGCUAACUACGUGCCAGCAGCCGCAGUAAUACGUAGGGGGCAAGCGUUAUCCGGAUUUACUGGGUGUAAAGGGAGCGGAGGCGGCAGUACAAGGCUGGAGUGAAAGGCGCGGGCUUAACCCCAGGACGGCUGUGGAAACUGUGAUGCUAGAGUGCAGGAGAGGUAAGUGGAAUGCCUGGUGUAGCGGUGAAAUGCGUAGAUAUUAGGCGGAACACCAGUGGCGAAGGCGGCUUACUGGCCUGUAACUGACGUUGAGGCUCGAAAGCGUGGGUAGCAAACAGGAUUAGAUACCCGAGUAGUC